UGGGGAAUAUUGGGCAAUGGAGGAAACUCUGACCCAGCGACGCCGCGUGCGGGAUGAAGGCCUUCGGGUUGUAAACCGCUUUCAGUAGGGAAGAAGCGAAAGUGACGGUACCUACAAAAGAAGCACCGGCUAACUAUGUGCCAGCAGCCGCGGUAAUACAUAGGGUGCAAGCGUUAAUCGGAAUUACUGGGCGUAAAGGGUUCGUAGGCGGUGAUAUAAGUUAAGUGUGAAAGACCUGGGCUUAACCUGGGGCAGUCACUUAAGACUAUAUAGCUAGAGUGUGUCAGAGGGGGGUAGAAUUCCACGUGUAGCAGUGAAAUGCGUAGAUAUGUGGAGGAAUACCAAUGGCGAAGGCAGCCCCCUGGGAUAACACUGACGCUCAUGCACGAAAGCGUGGGGAGCAAACAGG
RNAcentral lists this ribosomal RNA (409 nucleotides) under uncultured bacterium. Its description in RNAcentral is "bacterial SSU rRNA". It matches the Rfam family "Bacterial small subunit ribosomal RNA", at positions 355 to 776 of the family's 1533-position model. The record is from RNAcentral.